CAGCCGCCGCGGUAAAACGGAGGGUGCAAGCGUUAAUCGGAAUUACUGGGCGUAAAGCGCACGCAGGCGGUUUGUUAAGUCAGAUGUGAAAUCCCCGAGCUUAACUUGGGAACUGCAUUUGAAACUGGCAAGCUAGAGUCUUGUAGAGGGGGGUAGAAUUCCAGGUGUAGCGGUGAAAUGCGUAGAGAUCUGGAGGAAUACCGGUGGCGAAGGCGGCCCCCUGGACAAAGACUGACGCUCAGGUGCGAAAGCGUGGGGAGCAAACAGGAUUAGAUACCCCAGUAGUCCCUGUCUCUUAUAC
RNAcentral lists this ribosomal RNA (301 nucleotides) under uncultured bacterium. RNAcentral describes it as "partial 16S ribosomal RNA". It matches the Rfam family "Bacterial small subunit ribosomal RNA", at positions 509 to 807 of the family's 1533-position model. The record is from RNAcentral.